AUCUUUUCAAGGAUGUUCACAUCAAAAUCUACUUUGGAAAAUGAGACAGUAUCUCUGUUCAAGAUGGCAGCCCAUGGCCUAAUGAGUGUGGGGACCACCUGAUUAUUCUUCAGGAAGCUAGCAGUAGUUCUUUCACUGCAGUCUCCAGGACAAGAGACAGAUUGUUCUGCAUUAUAAGGAGGGUGCCAGAAAAUUUAAUUAACAUAAGAAUAAAUGCCAAUGGAGGAUGAGAGUGAUGUUGCUAUUCAAAUG
Molecule: long non-coding RNA, 252 nt
Organism: Tupaia belangeri chinensis (Chinese tree shrew)
Lineage: Eukaryota; Metazoa; Chordata; Mammalia; Scandentia; Tupaiidae
Exons: 3
Source: RefSeq, a predicted model, not a curated record